This 849-nucleotide ribosomal RNA is filed under the name Triticum aestivum (bread wheat). Its description in RNAcentral is "partial small subunit ribosomal RNA". The record is from RNAcentral. Lineage: Eukaryota; Viridiplantae; Streptophyta; Magnoliopsida; Poales; Poaceae.
AUGUACGAGAUGUUUGGCCAGGCUUUGUAUCGCUCUGGUAGGUAUGAUGUUGAGGAAGUUGAGCGGGGCAUCACCUACCACGUGCGACAUGUUGAAGCUGAGAAGCGAGAGAAGUGGUGCCGUGAAAUGCAUGUGGUCAGUGUCCAUGAUGGCUGUGCUAGGUACACAUGCGAAUGUGGGCUCUUCGAGCACAUGGGGAUGCUUUGUUGCCAUGCUAUCAAGGUUUUAAUUCAUUUGGGAGUGAGAAAAAUACCCAGAUUCCAUGUCAUGAAAAGGUGGACAGUAGAUGCCCGCGACAAUUCACCACUUCACCUUCUCCAUUACCAAAAGGAUCAAGGGCCUCCGCGGUUAUCCUCCUACAGGCAUACAGCACUACACCUGACCGUGCUCGAGUUUGUCCAGCUUGGUGAUAGCAAUGUCGAUGCCUUUGAUAGAGCAAUGGACAUCUUGAUUGCAGGCAAGGCAGAGCUGACUGUUUUGGCGGCGGUCAAGGAUGGCAAAAGUUUGGUGGACCAAACUCAAAUUGGGGAAUCAGCCAAUCCCACUCAGAGGAUGGGCACAAGUUCUUCGCACCCAGACGACAUGUGUUCUCAGAUGUUCAUCUCCACCGAGUGUGGGCUUAGUUCAGUUUCUGGUGAAGCUGGCUCCAGUAUGUCACUGUCGACGUUGCUGCCGUCUGAUAGGAAGAAGCAGAAGGGUAGGCCAACCACAGCGAGGGACAAACCUGGAUAUGAGGUCAAGGACGCGCGGUCGAGGUUUUGUACGGUUUGUAGGGAGAAAGGGCACCCCGCAGGGGUGAUCUUCCGAAGAAACCUCGCAAAAUCCCUACCUGCGGCAAUUGCGGUGUAG